GAUGAACGCUAGCGGCAGGCCUAAUACAUGCAAGUCGAGGGGUAGAGCUAGCUUGCUAGCUUGAGACCGGCGCUCGGGUGCGUAACGCGUAUGCAACCUACCCUUUUCUGGGGGAUAGCCCGGAGAAAUCCGGAUUAAUACCGCAUAAGACCACGAUACGGCAUCGUGAUGUGGUCAAACAUUUAUGGGAGAAGGAUGGGCAUGCGUGCCAUUAGCUAGUUGGCGGGGUAACGGCCCACCAAGGCGACGAUGGCUAGGGGAUCUGAGAGGAUGGCCCCCCACACUGGUACUGAGACACGGACCAGACUCCUACGGGAGGCAGCAGUAAGGAAUAUUGGACAAUGGGCGCAAGUCUGAUCCAGCCAUACCGCGUGGGUGAAGAAGGCCUUCGGGUUGUAAAGCCCUUUUGUUGGGAAAGAAAUCCAGCUGGCUAAUACCCGGUUGGGAUGACGGUACCCAAAGAAUAAGCACCGGCUAACUUCGUGCCAGCAGCCGCAGUAA
RNAcentral lists this ribosomal RNA (501 nucleotides) under uncultured bacterium. RNAcentral describes it as "partial 16S ribosomal RNA". It matches the Rfam family "Bacterial small subunit ribosomal RNA", at positions 28 to 523 of the family's 1533-position model. The record is from RNAcentral.